Musa acuminata AAA Group (dessert banana) is the source of this 1743-nucleotide long non-coding RNA. RefSeq lists it as uncharacterized. The record is from RefSeq and is a predicted model, not a curated record. The transcript is spliced from 3 exons. Lineage: Eukaryota; Viridiplantae; Streptophyta; Magnoliopsida; Zingiberales; Musaceae.
UGUACCGUCAGCAACUGAGCAGUUUGAAUGCUAUUAUGAGCGGAUAAAUCUUCUCGAAAUAAUCAACAGGAUUACAUGACAAAUUGUUGCUGAGGGUUCUUCGUUGGGGGUGCGAUCUUUAGGGUUUAUGGCUGAGGAGCCGAGGAACUUCUGGGAAUGAACGUUCCCCAAGGUGAAGAAGGGAAGAAGGCGAAGUUUAGGCUUGCGGUUGGGUCGCAGAUGUUUGAGGUGAAGUCCCGGUUUGAUGUAACGGUGUUUCUCGUUCUCGCGAUUGUAGCUAUCGGACUUGGUCCUCUGAUCCUCUUCCCGCUGGCGGAGAAAGAUCGAAGAGCAUUGAUCCAAACAUCCCUUAAAUCUUUUCCAUCUUGAUGGGAAGAACCCGCGGGACUUUCAGGAUUUGGGGCUCCCUUUCGAAGCUUUUCUUUUAGAGACUUUCUAAAAGGAAGGACGGCAUCUUUCUCCCUUCAUGACAUGAAUUCACUCUACCACUGUGCCUAUCUUCCCACGCGUGCCUUGCUAUAGCAUUUUGGUCGACUGCAUUGAUAUUUUAUCAAACUUUUUUCCUUCAAAAAGAAGUGAGUAUGAGUUGCUGAAACCAUUAUGACUGACAUUCCUAUUAUAUUCCAAUGCUUUUUCAGGAUUUAGAUGCAGUGCCCUUAUCUGUAUCACAUAAAGACGCCAUUGUGGCUGCGUACGUGAGGUUUCUGGCUCCGAAGGAGUUGAACAGAUGCAGAUCAUGAAGAUGAAUUUUUCUAGAGCACCUUUUCUUAUGAGCUUCUUGAUUCAUUGUCAUUCUUUCAUGAAACCUUUCCAUUAAUUAUUCUAUGGCUGCAAGCAAUUUUUCUUUGGAACUUUUUAAAUAUUUCAUUAACUCCUCUUGACAAAAGGCUGAGGAAAUCUAAUGCAGUUCAGUUAGUCUAUAAUAUAUAGCAUGCCAGUAAUUUAUAAUUGAUCUAUUUAAAUGGAAACUUUAAUUUUUGUUUUUGCUGAUUUUUUUCUUAUUUUAGAAGGGUGCUACGGUUGUCUGUUUCUUUUUCUUUUUUGUUGGAGCAGUAAUUGGUGAUGAGGAAAAAGCAAAAGAAACUGUCAAAGCAGUUCAUCUAUUGGUAUGAAAUAAGACAAAUUUUCUUUUGUAGUUUUCAUAUAUUGACCUCAGUCUAUAAUUGUUUUGUCUUUGCAGGACAGGAUCUGUCUCCAAAUGAUUUCAUUAAUAUCCAAAAAUUUCCUCACAGGAUUAACAAUGUCUCCAAAUAUUGGAAGAAAAUCUUUAUGAGUAUCUUGUUACAAAAAUGAAUUUCUGGUUCAAGAUGGACAGCAGAAAGAUGAAACUUCUGUAAAGAAAAAUGAGAAGAAGAAAUCUAAAGGUGUGAAUGUCGAUGGUGAACUCAUGGCAAAGGAUAAACCUCUUGAAGUUGUUGCCGAUCGAAAUGAGACUACUGACCCAGCAACCGAAAAGAACAAGAAACAUUAGUUGGAGGAGCAAAAACAAGAAGAGGUUCUGCUUGAGCUGAAUGAUGAUGAUGCUGCAGAACAAAAUAGGACGUCCAGAAAGUUAAAAAGAGUUAUGAAGAUAUAUUUUGAUGGGAAUUUCCAAAUGAGAAUCUAAAUAAAAAGAAAAAACAAGAUGACUAGUAUGUGCCAUAUGAAUCCGACGUAUUACCAUGCUUUGCUGUUAUACAAGUGACUUUUAGAGCCUCUCAGUUUGAUAAAAGAGUGAAUGAUGUAGAAUUGAGGAAUAUGUUA